This 693-nucleotide ribosomal RNA is filed under the name uncultured Planctomycetota bacterium. RNAcentral describes it as "bacterial SSU rRNA". It matches the Rfam family "Bacterial small subunit ribosomal RNA", at positions 565 to 1253 of the family's 1533-position model. The record is from RNAcentral. Lineage: Bacteria; Pseudomonadati; Planctomycetota.
GAGCACGUAUGUGGGUUUGUAAGUCAAAUGUGAAAGCCUCCUGUUCAACGAGAGAAUUGCAUCUGAAACUACGGAUCUUGAGUGUAAGAGGGGAGAAUGGAACUUCUGGUGGAGCGGUGAAAUGCGUAGAUAUCAGAAGGAGCGCCGGCGGCGAAAGCGAUUCUCUGGCCUAUUACUGACACUCAGUGUGCGAAAGCUAGGGGAGCAAACGGGAUUAGAUACCCCGGUAGUCCUAGCCGUAAACGAUGGGCACUAAAUAGAGGGAAUUACCGAUAUUCUCUCUGCCGUAGCUAACGCAUUAAGUGCCCCGCCUGGGUAGUACGGCCGCAAGGCUAAAACUCAAAAGAAUUGACGGGGGCUCGCACAAGCGGUGGAGCAUGUGGCUUAAUUCGAUGCAACGCGAAAAACCCUACCGGGGCUUGACAUGAUAGAAAUAGGAACCCGAAAGGUUAACGAACGGUAUCCAGUCCGUAGCUAUUACAGGUGUUGCAUGACUGUCGUCAUCUCGUGUCGUGAGACGUUGGCUAAGUCCCCUAACGAGCGAAACCCUUGUUUUAGUUACCAGCGUGUUAUGCCGGGCACUCUAGAACGACUGCUGUCGUCAGGACGGAGGAAGGUGGGGGAUGAGGUCAGUCAUAUGGCCUUAUUUCCCGGGCGUCCACCCGUUACAAGAGACUAUUAUAUAGGUGUAGA